RNAcentral lists this ribosomal RNA (468 nucleotides) under uncultured bacterium. RNAcentral's name for it is "partial 16S ribosomal RNA". It matches the Rfam family "Bacterial small subunit ribosomal RNA", at positions 28 to 507 of the family's 1533-position model. The record is from RNAcentral.
GAUGAACGCUGGCGGCGUGCUUAACACAUGCAAGUCGAACGGAAAGGCCCUGCUUUUGUGGGGUGCUCGAGUGGCGAACGGGUGAGUAACACGUGAGUAACCUGCCCUUGACUUUGGGAUAACUUCAGGAAACUCGGGCUAAUACAGGAUAGGAGCUCCUGCUGCAUGGUGGGGGUUGGAAAGUUACGGUGGUUGGGGAUGGUAUCGCGGGUUAUCAGCUUGUUGGUGGGGUAGUGGCUUACCAAGGUUUCGACGGGUAGCCCGCCUGGGAGGGUGGCCAGGCACCAUGGGACUGAGGUACGGCCCAGACGCGUACGGGAGGCAGCGGUGGGAAAUAUUGCACAAUAGGCGGAAGCCUGAUACAACGGCGCCGCGUGCGGAAUGACCGCCUUCGGGUUAUAAACCGCUUUCGCCUGUGACGAAGCGUGAGUGACGGUAAUGGGUAAAAAAGCACCGGCUAACUACGUG